RNAcentral lists this ribosomal RNA (421 nucleotides) under uncultured Flavobacterium sp. RNAcentral describes it as "bacterial SSU rRNA". It matches the Rfam family "Bacterial small subunit ribosomal RNA", at positions 356 to 774 of the family's 1533-position model. Lineage: Bacteria; Pseudomonadati; Bacteroidota; Flavobacteriia; Flavobacteriales; Flavobacteriaceae. The record is from RNAcentral.
GAGGAAUAUUGGUCAAUGGACGCAAGUCUGAACCAGCCAUGCCGCGUGCAGGAAGACGGUCCUAUGGAUUGUAAACUGCUUUUGUACGGGAAGAAACACUCCUACGUGUAGGAGCCUGACGGUACCGUAAGAAUAAGGAUCGGCUAACUCCGUGCCAGCAGCCGCGGUAAUACGGAGGAUCCAAGCGUUAUCCGGAAUCAUUGGGUUUAAAGGGUCCGUAGGCGGUUUAAUAAGUCAGUGGUGAAAUCUGGUCGCUCAACGAUCAAACUGCCAUUGAUACUGUUAGACUUGAAUUACUGUGAAGUAACUAGAAUAUGUAGUGUAGCGGUGAAAUGCUUAGAUAUUACAUGGAAUACCAAUUGCGAAGGCAGGUUACUAACAGUUGAUUGACGCUGAUGGACGAAAGCGUGGGGAGCGAACA